AUUGAACGCUGGCGGCAGGCCUAACACAUGCAAGUCGAGCGAGCGGCGGACGGGUGAGUAAUGUCUGGGAAACUGCCUGAUGUAGGGGGAUAACUACUGGAAACGGUAGCUAAUACCGCAUACCAUCCUGUAUGCCCAGAUGGGAUUAUCUAGUAGGUGGGGUAACGGCUCACCUAGCCGACGAUCCCUAGCUGGUCUUAGAGUAUGACCAGCCACAUUGUCAAGGAGACACGGUCCAGAAUACUACGGGAGGCAGCAGUGGGGAAUAUUGCACAAUUGGCGCAAGCCUGAUGAAGCCAUGCCGCGUGUGUGAAGAAGGCCUUCGGGUUGUAAAGCACUUUGGGCGGGUAGGCGUUAUCUGCAGAAGGAGCACGGGCUAACUACGUGCCAGCAGCCGAGGUAAUAC
Molecule: ribosomal RNA, 406 nt
Filed under: uncultured bacterium
Lineage: Bacteria
Description: partial 16S ribosomal RNA
Rfam family: Bacterial small subunit ribosomal RNA
Source: RNAcentral